CCUACGGGUUGCACCAGUGGGGAAUAUUGUACAAUGGGCGCAAGCCUGAUGCAGCCAUGCCGCGUGUAUGAAGAAGGCCUUCGGGUUGUAAAGUACUUUCAGCGAGGAGGAAGGCAUUAAGGUUAAUAACCUUGAUGAUUGACGUUACUCGCAGAAGAAGCACCGGCUAACUCCGUGCCAGCAGCCGCGGUAAUGCGGAGGGUGCAAGCGUUAAUCGGAAUUACUGGGCGUAAGGCGCACGCAGGCGGUCUGUCAAGUCGGAUGUGAAAUCCCCGGGCUCAACCUGGGAACUGCAUCCGAAACUGGCAGGCUAGAGUCUUGUAGAGGGGGGUAGAAUUCCAGGUGUAGCGGUGAAAUGCGUAGAGAUCUGGAGGAAUACCGGUGGCGAAGGCGGCCCCCUGGACAAAGACUGACUCUCAGGUGCGAAAGCGUGGGGAGCAAACAGGAUUAGAUACCCUCGUAGUC
RNAcentral lists this ribosomal RNA (465 nucleotides) under uncultured bacterium. RNAcentral's name for it is "bacterial SSU rRNA". It matches the Rfam family "Bacterial small subunit ribosomal RNA", at positions 338 to 795 of the family's 1533-position model. The record is from RNAcentral.